RNAcentral lists this long non-coding RNA (555 nucleotides) under Gallus gallus (chicken). RNAcentral's name for it is "lncRNA (ENSGALG00010006286.1)". The record is from RNAcentral. Lineage: Eukaryota; Metazoa; Chordata; Aves; Galliformes; Phasianidae.
GCUACUCCAAAAGUAAUGCCUCUUAUUUUAUUCUAUUUGAUCAUGAUGUCAGAGACGGAUGUUGGCAGUAUCACAGUAAAGAUUGAACCUUCCCACCAAUAUUCCAUUACAAUUUGUUGAUGUGUGAAAAACACCAGCAGAGGGGCAGUGAUAAAGUGGUGCCUGACAUGGAAGCACAUAUGAAGCAAUGCAGCCAUUCUCCACAAAUAGGUGUGUGCUUGAAAAAGGAAUUACUGACUUCAUCACCUUCAUUGAAAACAUUGUCAUGCAACACUGGCACCAUCGCUGACUAUGGAUUUUUGCUAGUGAUGAAGAAGAGCCUGCAUGUUGCACUUCUAAACAUCUGCAAGACUGUCUGGAAUAUGACUUGUCUUUCACGUUGUUGUUGCCACUGCUGAAAUGCACCACCCACCACUUCACUGUGCUCGCAUCCAUUGGUUGGCCUUCAUCAGUGUUCAAUAAGCAUUGAUGAAUGUCAAGCGGUGUUUUUUUUGUUGUUUUUUUUUUCUUUCCCCUCAGGGAGGAAUUCAGUGACACACCUUUGUUUCAUAUGUG